CUUCAUAUCAUAGACAGAGAGACUACAGGUGAGCAGGGCUGGUGUUUUGCCUUCAUAUCAUAGAGACAGGAGAGACUACAGGUGAGCAGGGCUGGUGUUUUGCCUUCAUAUC
Non-coding RNA from Salvelinus sp. IW2-2015, 112 nucleotides. The record is from RefSeq and is a predicted model, not a curated record. Lineage: Eukaryota; Metazoa; Chordata; Actinopteri; Salmoniformes; Salmonidae.